Molecule: ribosomal RNA, 228 nt
Filed under: uncultured bacterium
Lineage: Bacteria
Description: partial 16S ribosomal RNA
Rfam family: Bacterial small subunit ribosomal RNA
Source: RNAcentral
CGGGUGAGUAAUGUCUGGGAAACUGCCUGAUGGAGGGGGAUAACUACUGGAAACGGUAGCUAAUACCGCAUAACGUCGCAAGACCAAAGAGGGGGACCUUCGGGCCUCUUGCCAUCGGAUGUGCCCAGAUGAGAUUAGCUAGUAGGUGGGGUAACGGCUCACCUAGGCGACGAUCCCUAGCUGGUCUGAGAGGAUGACCAGCCACACUGGAACUGAGACACGGUCCAG